GUCUUCAGCUGCUAGUUGCUUGAUUGGGUUAAUGAGCAUGUGUGGUGGGACAUGCCCCUAGCUGGUAAGGGGCAACCUGUCAGAGGGGGCUGUCUACAUGUGAUGCAGAUAGUGCUAAUACCACCCCUCUGAUGGGUUUGGAAGAGAGUGGAAGCCAAACACUACCAGAAGCUGCCUCUUACGGAUUUAUUUAGUGUGCCAUGGCUCUUGGCUCUCUCUUCUGUGGCAGUCUUACUCUGGGAUGCUGAAUAGAGAUGAAUGAGCUGUCAUGUCACACCAUGAAUUGUUAACUUGUCCUUUGAACAGUGGUCAGUGUAAAGAAGUUAACAGGAGAUUAUCAGUCAAACAAGGAUUAUCUCUAUCCAUCAGGAUACUGCUUCAUGUUACACCUUUCCUUCACAGGGAUAUAUUGGAGUAGCUUACUGGUACGUACUGUGAAUUUAAAACACAUUCUCUUAAGAGUAAAUAUAAUUGUGUUUACAUUUUUU
RNAcentral lists this long non-coding RNA (488 nucleotides) under Anser brachyrhynchus (Pink-footed goose). Its description in RNAcentral is "lncRNA (ENSABRG00000011328.1)". The record is from RNAcentral. Lineage: Eukaryota; Metazoa; Chordata; Aves; Anseriformes; Anatidae.